This 1748-nucleotide ribosomal RNA is filed under the name synthetic metagenome. RNAcentral's name for it is "bacterial LSU rRNA". It matches the Rfam family "Bacterial large subunit ribosomal RNA", at positions 205 to 1977 of the family's 2925-position model. The record is from RNAcentral.
AGUACCCCGAGGAAAAGAAAUCAACCGAGAUUCCCCCAGUAGCGGCGAGCGAACGGGGAGGAGCCCAGAGCCUGAAUCAGUGUGUGUGUUAGUGGAAGCGUCUGGAAAGGCGCGCGAUACAGGGUGACAGCCCCGUACACAAAAAUGCACAUAUUGUGAGCUCGAUGAGUAGGGCGGGACACGUGGUAUCCUGUCUGAAUAUGGGGGGACCAUCCUCCAAGGCUAAAUACUCCUGACUGACCGAUAGUGAACCAGUACCGUGAGGGAAAGGCGAAAAGAACCCCGGCGAGGGGAGUGAAAAAGAACCUGAAACCGUGUACGUACAAGCAGUGGGAGCCUCUUAAUGGGGUGACUGCGUACCUUUUGUAUAAUGGGUCAGCGACUUAUAUUCUGUAGCAAGGUUAACCGAAUAGGGGAGCCGAAGGGAAACCGAGUCUUAACUGGGCGUUAAGUUGCAGGGUAUAGACCCGAAACCCGGUGAUCUAGCCAUGGGCAGGUUGAAGGUUGGGUAACACUAACUGGAGGACCGAACCGACUAAUGUUGAAAAAUUAGCGGAUGACUUGUGGCUGGGGGUGAAAGGCCAAUCAAACCGGGAGAUAGCUGGUUCUCCCCGAAAGCUAUUUAGGUAGCGCCUCGUGAAUUCAUCUCCGGGGGUAGAGCACUGUUUCGGCAAGGGGGUCAUCCCGACUUACCAACCCGAUGCAAACUGCGAAUACCGGAGAAUGUUAUCACGGGAGACACACGGCGGGUGCUAACGUCCGUCGUGAAGAGGGAAACAACCCAGACCGCCAGCUAAGGUCCCAAAGUCAUGGUUAAGUGGGAAACGAUGUGGGAAGGCCCAGACAGCCAGGAUGUUGGCUUAGAAGCAGCCAUCAUUUAAAGAAAGCGUAAUAGCUCACUGGUCGAGUCGGCCUGCGCGGAAGAUGUAACGGGGCUAAACCAUGCACCGAAGCUGCGGCAGCGACACUAUGUGUUGUUGGGUAGGGGAGCGUUCUGUAAGCCUGUGAAGGUGGCCUGUGAGGGUUGCUGGAGGUAUCAGAAGUGCGAAUGCUGACAUAAGUAACGAUAAAGCGGGUGAAAAGCCCGCUCGCCGGAAGACCAAGGGUUCCUGUCCAACGUUAAUCGGGGCAGGGUGAGUCGACCCCUAAGGCGAGGCCGAAAGGCGUAGUCGAUGGGAAACAGGUUAAUAUUCCUGUACUUGGUGUUACUGCGAAGGGGGGACGGAGAAGGCUAUGUUGGCCGGGCGACGGUUGUCCCGGUUUAAGCGUGUAGGCUGGUUUUCCAGGCAAAUCCGGAAAACCAAGGCUGAGGCGUGAUGACGAGGCACUACGGUGCUGAAGCGACAAAUGCCCUGCUUCCAGGAAAAGCCUCUAAGCAUCAGGUAACAUCAAAUCGUACCCCAAACCGACACAGGUGGUCAGGUAGAGAAUACCAAGGCGCUUGAGAGAACUCGGGUGAAGGAACUAGGCAAAAUGGUGCCGUAACUUCGGGAGAAGGCACGCUGAUAUGUAGGUGAAGCGACUUGCUCGUGGAGCUGAAAUCAGUCGAAGAUACCAGCUGGCUGCAACUGUUUAUUAAAAACACAGCACUGUGCAAACACGAAAGUGGACGUAUACGGUGUGACGCCUGCCCGGUGCCGGAAGGUUAAUUGAUGGGGUUAGCGGUAACGCGAAGCUCUUGAUCGAAGCCCCGGUAAACGGCGGCCGUAACUAUAACGGUCCUAAGGUAGCGAAAUUCCUUGUCGGGU